GUAUUAGUGUCUGAAUAAAGUAAAGAAUUGUAAACUCUUUUAAACGUUGAAUUUAUAUACGUCUAAUACA
This 70-nucleotide transfer RNA is filed under the name Clavelina oblonga. RNAcentral's name for it is "transfer RNA-Tyr". The record is from RNAcentral. Lineage: Eukaryota; Metazoa; Chordata; Ascidiacea; Aplousobranchia; Clavelinidae.